UACAGAGGGUGCAAGCGUUAAUCGGAAUUACUGGGCGUAAAGCGUGCGCAGACGGUUCGAUAAGUCGGGUGUGAAAGCCCCGGGCUCAACCUGGGAAUUGCAUUCGAGACUGUCGAGCUAGGGUGCGGAAGAGGGAAGCGGAAUUUCCGGUGUAGCGGUGAAAUGCGUAGAUAUCGGAAGGAACACCAGUGGCGAAAGCGGCUUCCUGGUCCAGCACCGACGUUCAGGCACGAAAGCGUGGGGAGCAAACAGG
RNAcentral lists this ribosomal RNA (253 nucleotides) under uncultured bacterium. Its description in RNAcentral is "partial 16S ribosomal RNA". It matches the Rfam family "Bacterial small subunit ribosomal RNA", at positions 524 to 776 of the family's 1533-position model. The record is from RNAcentral.